GAUGAACGCUGGCGGCGUGCCUAAUACAUGCAAGUCGAGCGAACAGAUAAGGAGCUUGCUCCUUUGACGUUAGCGGCGGACGGGUGAGUAACACGUGGGUAACCUACCUAUAAGACUGGGAUAACUUCGGGAAACCGGAGCUAAUACCGGAUAACAUUUGGAACCGCAUGGUUCUAAAGUGAAAGAUGGUUUUGCUAUCACUUAUAGAUGGACCCGCGCCGUAUUAGCUAGUUGGUAAGGUAACGGCUUACCAAGGCGACGAUACGUAGCCGACCUGAGGGGGUGAUCGGCCACACUGGAACUGAGACACGGUCCAGACUCCUACGGGAGGCAGCAGUAGGGAAUCUUCCGCAAUGGGCGAAAGCCUGACGGAGCAACGCCGCGUGAGUGAUGAAGGGGUUCGGCUCGUAAAACUCUGUUAUUAGGGAAGAACAAACGUGUAAGUAACUGUGCACGUCUUGACGGUGCCUAAUCAGAAAGCCACGGCUAACUACGUG
RNAcentral lists this ribosomal RNA (497 nucleotides) under uncultured bacterium. RNAcentral describes it as "partial 16S ribosomal RNA". It matches the Rfam family "Bacterial small subunit ribosomal RNA", at positions 28 to 507 of the family's 1533-position model. The record is from RNAcentral.